This 549-nucleotide small RNA is filed under the name Arabidopsis thaliana (thale cress). RNAcentral's name for it is "ATSL127190". Lineage: Eukaryota; Viridiplantae; Streptophyta; Magnoliopsida; Brassicales; Brassicaceae. The record is from RNAcentral.
UAAUUUCUUACAAAAUUGAAGGACGAUUAGCUCGAAGUCUCAAAUAUAUUGGAGUAUACAUCAACUAAACCCACCUAUAAGUUUUUCAUUAUUUAUAAUAUCUAUGUUACAUUCUUUCAUUUGUCAUAUAAUAAAAUAUUUUCUGUUAUCUAAUAAUAGUUUUGCUUAUUUCUUAAGACAAAAUAUUUAUUUGUGUCUGUGAUUAUGCUUUCCCAUAAAAGAUUUGUCAAUAUAUAUAUAUAUAUAUAUUUGCCGUCAAAUACAUUAUAUAUAUAUAUAAUUCUUUUGACAACAAUACUUAUGCCUUAUAUAUACGCGUGCUUUGUUCACUUUCAUACUUAUUUUAUUAAAAAAGCAUAAGUUCAAUAUAAAUUCUUCAAAUUUUACAAGAAAUUAUAAAAUCUCUCAUAAGAUAUAGAACUUAAUUAGCAACCCCCGGCCCACCAAAGAAGACAGCAGCGUUCGAAGGUGAAUUUGGCCGAUAUAUUGCAUUGUAACAUUUUUUCCUAUAUUUUGCUUAUAAAGUGCUUAUAAAAUUAAAAAAAAAAA